This 427-nucleotide ribosomal RNA is filed under the name uncultured bacterium. RNAcentral's name for it is "partial 16S ribosomal RNA". It matches the Rfam family "Bacterial small subunit ribosomal RNA", at positions 354 to 796 of the family's 1533-position model. The record is from RNAcentral.
GUGAGGAAUUUUCCGCAAUGGGCGAAAGCCUGACGGAGCAAUGCCGCGUGAAGGAUGAAGGCCUAUGGGUUGUAAACUUCUUUUCUCAGAAAAGAAUUAUGACGGUAUCUGAGGAAUAAGCAUCGGCUAACUCUGUGCCAGCAGCCGCGGUAAGAAAGAGGAUGCAUGCGUUAUCCGUAAUGAUUGGGCGUAAAGCGUCUGUAGGUUGUUUAAAAAGUAUUCUAUCAAAGAUUAGGGCUUAACCCUAGAUAGGCAGAAUAAACUGUUAAGCUAGAGUUUGGUAGAGGCAGAGGGAAUUCCCGGUGGAGCGGUGAUAUGCGUAGAUAUCGGGAGGAACACCAAAGGCGAAGGCACUCUGCUGGGCCAAUACUAACACUGAGAGACGAAAGCGAGGGGAGCAAAUGGGAUUAGAUACCCAUAGUAGUCC